UUAAGUUCAGCGGGUUUUCUUGCUCGAUUUCAGACCAAGUUAUCGGAACCACUCUCAAAAAUUGAGAGCGGCACCGUGUUGGAUUGAAGUGCGUAAAACGGUGCUGGGCUUGUAGGCCCGCCUUGGCAUCAAACCUCAGUGAGACUUUUCUGUUGCACUGAGAGUUUGGACCAAAGUACGCACAUGACAUGCGUAUCAGC
RNAcentral lists this unclassified non-coding RNA (200 nucleotides) under Chytridiomycota sp. RNAcentral describes it as "partial internal transcribed spacer 2". Lineage: Eukaryota; Fungi; Chytridiomycota. The record is from RNAcentral.